Molecule: unclassified non-coding RNA, 245 nt
Filed under: uncultured fungus
Lineage: Eukaryota; Fungi
Description: sequence contains ITS1
Source: RNAcentral
UUAACAAUUUUUCUUUAUGAAAACUCAGACUGCAACCUUCAGACAGUGUUCAGUGUUGGUGUCCCCGGCGGGCACGGGCCCGGGGGCAGGGUAGCCCCCCGGCGGCCGGCAGCCCCCUCCCCAGGAGGGGGGGGACAGCCAAGCGGGCCCGCCGAAGCAACAGGGUAUGAAUAGACACGGAUGGGAGGUUGGACCCAGAGGGUCCGCACUCGGUAAUGAUCCUUCCGCAGGUUCACCUACGGAAA